Long non-coding RNA from Bacillus rossius redtenbacheri, 7570 nucleotides. RefSeq lists it as uncharacterized. The record is from RefSeq and is a predicted model, not a curated record. NCBI's taxonomy places the organism in Eukaryota, Metazoa, Arthropoda, Insecta, Phasmatodea, Bacillidae. The transcript is spliced from 2 exons.
CCAAAAACUUACAUCAAGUCAAGCUAAUGACUAUCCCUAUGGAUAUUUAAUUCUGCUUUAAAUUAAUACACAGUAAGUUGUUUGUGUCCCUAAACCAUAAUUAAUGUUGGUGAAAAUCGGAUACAGAUUACAAACAGCAAAAUCAUUUUAUGAUUAAAAUAAACAAUCGGUUCUAAGACAUUAGGAAACUGUGUUGUACUUGGAUAUCUGCAAUAUUUCUCUGUGUUUUACAGUUUUUGAGACACCAUCUCCAAUUCCCCGGAGUGUCCUUGUCUUGCGGAUUGUCCCUGCCCUUGGCGAGGCAGAGGCAGGCGUGGUCGUGCCUGCACGGCUACUCACCUCCUGGAUGUAGUUGCGUGCCUUCAGAGUGAAGUUCUUGCCGCCGAUGGAGAAGAACAUCUCGGGCAGCUUGCUGGCCGUGCUACAGUCCACCUGCACGGGAACCACACAUCACUUAGAAACACACGACUUAGAACAGUCAUAAGUUAGAAACCUCGAAAAAAAUUCACGUAACUUAGAACUGUCAUAAGUUAGAAACGAUCAUAACUUAGAAACACGUAACGUAGAAUUAUCAUAACUUAGAAACAGACAACUUAGAACAUGCAUAACUUAGAAGAUUCUAUCUCGUAUGUUUCUAAGUUGGGUGUUUCUAAGUUGUGACAGCACCCCCACCUGCAGCAAACAGUGAGUGUUCAUGCUAGGCACGGGGAGGGCUCUUAGUUUGUCUCGACAGCCGUGUGGCAGAACACUCCCGGUACCACGUAGUGUGGUGUGACGACUGUAUCAACACCAAGUUUAGUAGACUCUUUGUUUUAUAUCCGUUCUUAAACUGUGAAAUAUUUAAUAACCAUAACCAAGAGGGGAAAAUUGUCAUUGUAAACCAUGCAUAUUAUAAACAUUCCAUUACCUUUUCACAAAUGUGGACCUGAGCAAACAACGUUCAAUGUGUUUUCUGCACCGAAACCACCCUGAGCAAGUCGUUUCUCGCUAGUGGUUGGCAAUUUGACUCCGUCAUGCAACCAAGCGUGACAAGUUCCGCAGAGUCUUUGUUUUGCAACAUUACAUUAUUGCAUUCAACUCGCCUAUCACAGACACCAGAAUGAAGUGUGCACUGCCACGCACUUUGAUCUUUUCUCCGAAAGGCCCCGACCAAUCGCAAUUCCAACCACUUUCCGCACCCACGUGGUACUUAAAACUUCACUGGUCUUUAAUCAUAACUACAUGUAAUGUUAUGUAUAGGUAAUUAAGGGUAACCAUGUGUAAUGUCACAUAUAAUAAGCAGCAGGCACGUGUCUGAAACUAAGACCAUCAAUUCAACUACGUCUGCGCCCAAGCGAUGAGCAAGCCAACUUUGCAGUAAAUGUUGACUAUUCUGUCUCGUAGUAUCAAUCAUCUACACGACAGGCCAUGUUAGCACAUACAGUAAUAGUCCGUUAUAACGUAAAUUUAUAACAGCGCCAAAAGUUUAUUUUAUAGCGAAUUUUCGUUAUAGCCAAAAAUUAAAAAAAAUCUAAUUUUUGUAGCAUUUUUAAAAUAUAUUAUUUUCUCGCUGGUUUUUACUAUGGAAAUUCACUACAAAAUUAAAGGAAAUAUACAUAAAACUUAUUAAAAUAACAUUGUUAAGCUAUAUCAGCACUUGCCGACUGCAAAAUAUGAGACCACGUGGCCGUGAUAAGGCCGUCACGCACAUCGAGGCUAAGCGCACAGCGGUUUGUUUACAUGGAGACGGGCGGGCGGGGUCACGCAAGGUCAUGCCGGCCGCUUCUUGUCGCUUUGACCGCAGCUGGUUUGCUGGAGACAUGUGCGCUAAGCUGACGAUAUCGGGUGCAUAUUUGCGGAGUUUUGAAUACUUACUAACAAUAUGUAAAUUCAAAGAUGUAGUGAAAUUUAUUUUAAAAUUUGUUACAAUAUUAGGCCUACUCACGUUGACACCUAUUAAAAAUGUCAAACACAAAAAAAAAAUUUUUUAAAAAAUCUCUAAUUACGUUGGACAGCCAUACAAAUUAUAAAAAAUAAUUUUUCCGACAAUUGGUCAGUAACACAAAAAUAAUCACUCGUACAGACCUUUGGAAAAUAACACAAAAUUAAAAAUCACUUUUUAAAAAACUAAUUAAUUUUCGUUUGCCUUGAUUUCACUAGACUUUCGGACAAAAUAAACGACUGGACCUCUUGGAAGUUCAUCAAAUCUUUCGUCGAAGCAUUUGUAUGCUGAUAAAAACGACUGAUUGUGUCAAGUGCCUCCAUCAUUGGCGUUUUCGACGGAACAGAUACGUCACUUGGUUCGUCAUCAUUAUUGUCAUCAUCUUCAGACGCUGCUUCGUUUUGAUUAGAAGAGACGAGCUCGACAAGUUCCGUGUUCGUCAACUCCCCGCACACGUCAACAUUAUAAUCAGCGCGUAGUGCCGUACACUAUAGCUGUAGCAAACCGUAUGUAUUCGGUACUGAGAAACGGGUGCGCCAUCUAGUAAAGAGUAACGAAACGUUACACACGAAUUCAUUUCGUUACUCGCAUUUUUCGUAUGUUUUACACAUGCGCGUGCAUAUUUGAUGAAUUUACGUUACAAAGAACGAUGUUUGUUUAUUUUAAGUAAAGUAUAAUUUGGAAAUUCGUCGUCCAAGUUUUUUACUGUUUAUUAAAGGUAUUGUGUGUGUAGACAAAGUUUGAGAUUGGAACAGAAAAUACGUAAGAAAGUAUUUUUUUACAAAUUAGAAAUAUGUAUGUUUUUGUUUUUUAUUAUCACGUAUUUUCACAUUUUUUUCUUAUCUUAUAAGAGAUAAUAUAAUAAAGCCGCUCUAAUGAGAUUUAAUUUUUCUUGGUUAACGAAAACUGUUAAUUAUCAAAUAUUGUUAAUUGUUUAUAUUCUAUUUAUUAUUAUUUACGCGACGUCAUACUGAUACAGUACGCGUACGCAAUACGACUCGAUUCGUUGCUGGAACAUAACAUAGCAUGUUAUGUGGUAUCAGAAGUAACGAGUAACGUAACGAUACGAUAGUAACGAGUACUAAUUGUUAUAGUAACGAAUACAUACGGGUACACUUUUUUUCAUUACUUUUACACCUCUACCGUACACUGAAACUACACCGUACACAACACUUACGAUGCAGGUGUGAGAUGAGUUAUGCUCAUUUACGGGCUACAGUCAGCGUGAUUCUAAAUAAGUAAUGCUCGCAGUGGGGCCCUGUCGCACUUGCUUUCGUCGCUGCGAGGCAAGCUAUGCUCGCUGUGGGGCCCCACCUUGUGCGGUGUUGCCAAGACGGCCACAUCAUGCGCGUUGUUUCAUUUUCCGGACGCGUGUAAUUGAGCGAAGCUGUUUCUCAUUUAUUAAGGAAAUUGUAGAUGUUUUCUCAUUGUUUUAGAGCAACAUUACAGGUGUGUAAUCUAUUGCUAUAGGGAAAAUGAGCCCACGCUGCAUUAGUUAUUUCUGAAAUUUUUAUCCUACGCAGCAUAUGCAAAACUGACGGUGCCAAUGGCAAUUAUCGUUAUAGCGGACUUUACGUUAUAGACCGUAUUCGCUACAACGUACUUUCACUGUAUGUACUUCUAAACUGGAUCUCACAGUCACAUUGUGAUGUUAGGCCCUGCGUCUCCACGCUCCGCACGUUAGCGCACAGGAAAACCAGAACGCUAGCUGGCGCCUGAUAUCAACACCUAGCCAACACUUCAUGAGACAAGCAGUAGGCAUUUGUAAUAUAAUUCUGUGUAUUGUAAAUUGUGUUGAGAUGCUUACAACUGUCUGACCAAUAAUGCAUGAUGUUUGAAAAUAUGUUACACCGACCACGUGUGCAGGACACGGUGGAUCGGGAACGUAACGGUGAGCAGCGGGGAACAAGGUUGGUUCACGACGAGCGGAAUGACACGCACCUUGUAGCGGCCGAACGCAAUGCUCUUGGCCCCCAGGAUGUCGUUGAUGCGGUCGACUUCGGCGGCGGGCCCGCUGAUGACGGUGGUGCUGGUGUCCAGCAUGGCAGGGCAGCCACCCACGCAGAACCCCAGCGUGGUGUUCACGUCCACGUGCACGUACGCCCUGCGACAACACAGUGGUCCACCCGUGUACCGUCCCAGCCGGAGCCUUCAGGGCCGUAAUAUCACAGUACCGCCAACCCCGCAGCACGAGGUGCCACAUGCACUGCGCUCACCUGUUGAGGUAGAAGGAGAAGAUGGGCCGGGCCACCAGCCCCUGCUUCACGAUGUUGUAGAAGAAGGGAACCGCCCCGUCGAUCGCCAGCCCGCUGUAGCCCAUCCCGAACACUCCGUCCGCCUUGGAGAAGGCGUAGAUGAGGGGCAGCUGCGUGAUCUCCGCGAACGUCUGGUUGGUUAUCUUGAUGUGGCCCAUCUGCGACACGCACGCCCCAAUCAUCGACACUUUCCUGGGGCAACGUGACAGGCACAGGGUUCCCACGCUCCUUGAAAGUCCUUGAAAGGUGCUUGAAAUGGUUUGAAGUAAUCAAGAGCCCUUAAAAGUGCUUGAAAAAACAUUUAGGUGCUUAAAAGUGCUUGAUAAAAUUUACACUGUUUGUAAGAGUUAUAAUUACGUCGUAUUUAUUUAGAACAAGUUAAAAGUGGGGAACAGCAAUUUAAUUUUAUGAUAUUUAUGGUAUGUUCAAAUAAAUUUCACAUAGAUUAAUGCCCCGUUUUUCGACGGCAUAUGAUAAGAUAUCUUCUAUGUACUAUUUUUAUCGGCAGUUAUGGUGUUAUCAAUGUUUUUGUUCUGAUAAAAGUUUGGUAUAAUGUUUAACUCAGCCCGUUUGCAAUGUUUCUGUUCCUCCAAUAAGCUUUUAUCUUUCUGUUUGUAAGUAAUACACAGAAGAAAAAAAAACAAUUCUGCACGUGUUCAAAAUAUACGUACUAAAAUUAUUUCAUAAUACUUGGGUCCUUGAAAUUUUUGAAAAAGUUCUUUGAAUGUGCUUGAAAAGUGCUUGAAUUUUCUUAGAUAGAAGGAGUGGGAACCAUGAGGCAGUAUGACAGGCCGCUGUUGCUGCAGGUCCGGGAACCAUGCUACGCAGGAGUUGUACACGUAUUCGGUGUGAUGGCGAGAAAACUUUAAUAACGAUGAUUUCGGCCACUAGUAGGUGUACGAGACCUGUAACGGACCCGAAAGUGGAAAUUUGUACCGAAGUGACAUCACAGCGCUAAAAGAAUUCCACAAACAAGAAUUCCGCGUCGUAAGCUUGCGAGGACAUUUGCCAGCGGAAUGGUAGAAUCACGCAUCCUAAACAUUUAGCCUUUUUUUGACUUAUUUAUCAGCCAUUUGCUGGCAUAUUUAUUUCCUGGAUCCAUAACCUUUUUUAGUAGGAACCGCGGUAAAGGGUCAGGCGGCGGUGUUCAGUAAAUUUUAAAGUUAAACGUCUUGAAGCAGCUGACAGACGCACCCCCUCUCCGGGAACGGGAACGCAAAUUAGUCGCUGGAAGACGCAGCACUGACUUUCAGAACUCAAGUAGCCUUGCGUGUGGGAAUUGGAUCUACGAAAUGAGCUAGUGAGGCUGCUGACAGCAAUGUCAUCUGUACCCGCAAGGGGAAGAGACGGGCACUGUGCCGCUAUGUCGCACAUGGGCCUGCCUUCAAGGCUGGUGAAAGCACUAUUACUGUCAUCAGGAGUUGUAACCUACUUCCGUUCUAUUUUUAAAAUAAUUUAUUUUCAAUUCAAUUUUUUUUACGUACUUAGGGUGGCCACUCUGUUGACAAAACCAAAUUCUAGGUUUUCCUCCAGGAAUUUUCAAGCUUUCUCUAUGAAAUUUCAUAAUAUUUAUAAAUUCAUAAAAAUAUAUGUAACGCAGCUAACGACAUUGGUGACAUUAGAGCUGAAACCAAAUUAACGAUUUAGUAUUAUACAUCAACUGUUUAAUAUUAUGACAAACUAGAAUAUACAGUCCUUGAUUAACGGACACUUAAUUUUGUUGUUUUUAAUUUGGUUAACGGAUGUCUUGUGACUGCUGACAUUUCCACAGGGUUGGUGCUUCUAGAAUACACCACCAGAGCGCUGCACUGCUUACAAACGUGAAUAAGUUUUGCACGCAUGCGUAAUGGUUAUCAAAGGAUAGCGCAACUGUAUCUGCGUAUCCUUUCUCCCGCAUCUAUAAAAAAGGAGGGUAAGACUUGGCUGCAAUACAUACGAUGCGCUUGUCUAAGAAAACAGCAGCCAACCCAACCCUUCCACUGGCCCGUAAGUCCUGUGGUGACAAGGGAAUCUGUGCACGUCGUUCAGUCGUUUGCCAGACGGUGAUGUACACUAGGCGCUCCAUGGCCAGCCAUUAGUCCUUCGUUGCAUUCACAGAAUUAUUAUUAUCAACAUUUUUAAUUCAACACAGACAUAUGGAUAAAAAAAAAAUCAUGCUAAAUCAGCCUCUUGAUUCGGAAAGGAGGAGGUUUGAAGUGAGUUUACCCUUCAGUAAACAACUGCCCCUCCAUUAAAGGCAUGUGAGAAAAAACUAUCACUUUCCACGCGCUCUCACAUAUUUCGGGCCGCUUUUACAAACACAAGAGUCGGUACAGUACCGUGGCUGGCGCGAGUCCGUGCCGCUGCAAACGGUGCUGUCGCCGUCACCGUACCAUGACCACCAGAUAAUUGCGGACGAUAUUUCCAUUACCAUGCAACUGGUGGAUAUUCACGUUUAGUUGCCAGAUGACGGAUGAAACAAUGUCCAUUUAGAAUAGAAAACAAUGUGAGAUUGCGGUCGGUGAAGUUACGGGCUCGGCCGGCCACUGCAUCGUCACGUCACUGGUGUGUGUAAAUUGGCCUUUCCUCAUAUUUUUCUUUCUCUCACCCUAGCUCUUUCCAAGGUCAAGCUCUUUCCAAGGUCACCAGGCUAACCUGUCUACAACCUUCAUGCUUGCUGCGCUGUGAUGCGUCAUCCCGCCGCGCUGCCUGGCAUGUCACGAGUCGGCCGUAGAGUUUCAACAUCGCAUGUUAGUCAUUUUUGGAAAGUCUACAUGAUUUAAUUAACGCACGUUUUGCUUAACAGACAUUUCUGGGAAUGUAACCUGUCCAUUAAUAAAUGACUUACUGCAUUCCUGUAAGACUAUAAUCUUUCCUUGGUAUAGGUAAGUGUAUUUCCUGAACAUACCAGAUUUAGUUGCCCUUUUAUGGUGUUUAAACUAAGACAGUAGCAAACAACAGCUAAAUUUUAUGUAGAGAGAGCAUUGGUAUAAAUGAUACAGCAAACCAUAAGGGCACAACUAAAAUUACUUUAGCAGCUUACACAUUAAAAUAGUAAUUAUUAACGAACGUAAUUAAAAUUCUCACCAGUAUUUUUGUUAGUUGAACACUAUAAAACAUUAUCAAAACUUUAAAUUCUCCAUACAGAAUCUUUCAGUCAGAGUUAUCUACAAAUUAUGAAUUAAUACAUGUAAAAGUAGGUACCUCCAGACUAAAAACUAAUGAUCACUUUAAUACUACAUAGCUGUAGAAAAAAUAUACAUCAAAAUUAAGUAAACAGUUUGAUAAACAUAUUUUUUUUCUUAGGUAGCCUUAAAUAACUUAAUUAUUAAAGCACAAUGAGUUCAACACUUUUUUUUGUCCUAACAUUAAUGUUUUACAAAAUGAUAGAUGUGAAUAGAUAAUAAAACAAAAA